AAUAAAGGUCUCUCAAUGUUCACUAAGAUUUUAAAUUUAUUGAAUUGUGGAGAUCCAGAUGUUUCCAUUGCAUACUGGCAGUUUUUCCUGUGAGUUUGAAAUAGUGACACCAAGUCUUGUUUCUAGUCAAAAUUCUCUUGAGAACUAUAUCACCCCUCAGCAUAAUAGUGUACCAAGUAUUCAUUUUUCCUUCUGAUUGUCCAACAAAUAGAUAUGGAACCCAUUAGCAAUCCAUCUUAUAGAUCCAAGUUCCCGCAUUGCUGAAUGCAGAGAGCUAAUGUUCACAUUCAUCUCCACAACAACUGAACAAAUAAUCUACUCUGAGAUCUGUUUUCACACGAAUGCAUCAAUUUGUUCAACAUUUUCGGCUAUUCAAAUAUGUAUUUAUCUGGGAUGUAGGAUGUUGACAUACAUUGUAUGUUUUGCAGCAGACAGCAAAGAUGACAAUACAAACUGAAUUCAAUGAUUAUCCUGAUCAGGAUGAUUAUUAUGUGUGUCAAAGACGAUGAUGACAAAUUAUCAUCUUUGAUAUACAUGCUACACCAUAAACAAUUAUCAUUCACCUCUAGAUAUCUACUGGUUUACAGUAGAUCUACCAAUUCAAAAACAAUCACUGCCCUUUGGAUAGAUAUGCAACAUAAUGUUAACAAGAUCAAUCUUCAAAAUUUGAUGAUCUUUGGCAUCACAUAUGAUGUCAAAGAUUUCAGAUUUUUCCGAUAGUCAGAAAUUAAUAGUGCAAACCAGUCUAAGAGCCAUAAACAAAGCUAUUGCAAUACCACAAACAGGUCUCAGUUGAAUGACCGUCAGCUUCAAAAUAUGAAUAAAAUAUAAUUGCAUAAAGUUUUUAGUGUGUGUCAGAAAAU
This 863-nucleotide long non-coding RNA is filed under the name Androctonus crassicauda. The record is from RNAcentral. Lineage: Eukaryota; Metazoa; Arthropoda; Arachnida; Scorpiones; Buthidae.